CCUACGUGAGGCAGCAGUAGGGAAUAUUGCUCAAUGGGGGAAACCCUGAAGCAGCAACGCCGCGUGGAGGAUGAAGGUUUUCGGAGUGUACACUCCUUUUGUUAAAGAAGAAAAUGACGGUAUGUAACGAAUAAUCACCGGCUAACUCCGUUCCAGCAGCCGCGGUAAUACGGAGGGUGCAAGCGUUAUUCGGAAUCACUGGGCGUAAAGAGAGCGUAGACGGUAUAGCAAGUCAGAUGUGAAAUUCUAUGGCUUAACCAUAGAAUUGCAUUUGAAACUGGUAUUCUAGAGUAUAGGAGAGGUAGGUGGAAUUCGUGGUGUAGGGGUUAAAUCCGUAGAGAUCAAGAGGAAUACUCAUUGCGAAGGCGACCUGCUAGACUGUCACUGACGCUGAUGCGCGAAAGUGUGGGGAGCAAACAGGAGUAGAUACCCGGGUAGUC
Molecule: ribosomal RNA, 440 nt
Filed under: uncultured bacterium
Lineage: Bacteria
Description: partial 16S ribosomal RNA
Rfam family: Bacterial small subunit ribosomal RNA
Source: RNAcentral